Molecule: long non-coding RNA, 1339 nt
Organism: Aegilops tauschii subsp. strangulata
Lineage: Eukaryota; Viridiplantae; Streptophyta; Magnoliopsida; Poales; Poaceae
Source: RefSeq, a predicted model, not a curated record
UCGACCGCACACCGGUCGUCCCCAUCUCGAGAAACACACCCCCUCCUGCCCCCACACACCAGUCUCCGGCGAGAUCCCAUCGAUCUCCGGCGUGCGGCGCCGCCUCCCUCAUCCGGCAGGAGGAAAGGAACCGUUUGCUGCCCCCGCACGCACCCAUACUUGUCGGCUCCGCCGAGUCCCCCUGCGGCACCAAUCUCAAGAGCCCCUCCAACUGCUCCGACAGCUCGAUUCCGUGCAUCCCGGCUCGAUUGCUUCAGGAAGGAGCAGGAUGACGACGAGGCGGAGCUCCUAGACACUGUUUGAAUUUUGAAGGAUAAGCUGGUCAAUACAGGAAAAUCUAAAAGAAUGCGACUAAAAUCAAUAUUUGAAGAUGUUCAAAAUCAAACAGGAUGACUACCUGAAGUACGAGCCUCAGAAAUCGUAAGAAGCAGAAGUUAUUGGUACUUGCUCGCACUCAUUUCUCAUGUUGAUGCUCAGGCAUAACCUCACAAAGCUUUGGCACACACUCACUUAUAAUCAGGGCUCGCUUAAUUUUAUCUUUCUAAUUCUUUUGAGAAAUACCAUAUCAAUAUUAUUUGUGAUGACUUGUCAGUCAUAAUUUCCAGUCAUGUAAUAUCCCAUUAUAUUAUUAGUAUUAGGCGUUAGCCAGAUACUAAUCUUCGGUUGGCUGUGAAUGUAAGCUUUGUGUUCUCCUUUGUUUUUAUCUGAUUAUGCUAUGAAAAGAAGAGUAAAUAUUUUUUCUGUGAUGGUGAGUUGUUAGUUCUGUAUGAUUUCAGAGCACAUUGUCAUGGGUUAGCAUGAAGAGAGUAAUAACCGUGCCUGCUGAAAAUAAUUCAGCAAGUGGGUGGUUUACAUAAUUAUAUGAGUUAGAACCUUGCUAUACACACGAUAGUACACAGAUGAUUUCUGAAAGAUGCUGAAGAUCGCACCAUUUGGUGCACGCAGCAGCACUGCUCCACCGUUUGAUAUAAGUGUUGGCUGCAUGUCGUGUCUGUACUGUCGUCUGCACAACAAUAUCUUAUUGGUUAUAGGAACUGGAUGUAGGUAUUAACAGUAUUUUGGAAAAAGGGUAGCAUAGAAUUAGUUAGUGUUGUUCUUGCUUGGAUUAUGAGAAGAUCAGCAUGUGCAAUAAAAUCUAUAGCUAUCUUGCUCUACUAUUCAAACCAUAUUCUUGCUAUAAUUUGUUCUGAGCUCCCAGUUUCUGUAUAAGUCUAUUGGUCCGGAUUUUUAGCAUUGUGUAUGUAUAGUGUGCUUUUCUACUCCUUGGGUACAUAAAUGCACACAAGGUUUUGAGUACUAAACAGAAGCAACAGAAAAGGCGUGAUUAAAACUUCUAUAC